This 257-nucleotide long non-coding RNA is filed under the name Aquilegia coerulea. Its description in RNAcentral is "long non-coding RNA (ACOE_LNC000414)". The record is from RNAcentral. Lineage: Eukaryota; Viridiplantae; Streptophyta; Magnoliopsida; Ranunculales; Ranunculaceae.
AGAAAUCAAACAUCAUUCAUCACCCAAAACUCCAUAGAAGAAUUAUCAUGUUUCUCAAAAGAACUUUCCACAUGUCGGUUUGUUUUUCACUCAGCAUCUAUCUAGGUGCCCCACCUUUGUUUGGAAAAAAAAGAGUUCAUAAGUUAAGUUUUCUCCUCAAAAGAUUCCAUUCAAGACUGGCUGGCUGGAAAUGUCGACUAUUAUCUAGAGGAGGUCGAUUGACUCUUGUUAACUCUGUUCUCACAGCUCUACCUUCA